RNAcentral lists this long non-coding RNA (272 nucleotides) under Coturnix japonica (Japanese quail). Its description in RNAcentral is "lncRNA (ENSCJPG00005020179.1)". Lineage: Eukaryota; Metazoa; Chordata; Aves; Galliformes; Phasianidae. The record is from RNAcentral.
AAGUCUUACCAGGCUGUACCCAUCCUUGCUAAGCUGCAGAAGCAUGGGGGAAUCACAAUUCUUACACAUGAAAAGACUCAUAGCCAUCUCCAGAGGACCGUGGAGGAUGGGGGUCAGCUCUCCUCCAGCCGGGAUGACGACCCUGCCCCUAUUUCUGCCUGGGGAAGGGCAAGAUGCACUGAGUAAGGACCCCGUCAUCCUCUCACCGGACCUGCAAUGAACAGAGCCAGGCCCAUCUCACAUACUUUCCAUUAGCAGCUCAAAAGAUUUAG